CUCCAAGGUGUGCCCAGGUGAGCACUGGUCACCUCCAGGUGGGUACUGGUCACCUCAAGGUGUGCCCAGGUGGGCGCUGGUCACCUGUGUGGUCUCCAGGUGGGCACUGGGCACCUCCUAGGGGGGGUCCAGGUGGGCACUGGUCACCUCAAGGUGUGCCCAGGUGGGCACUGGUCACCUGUGUGGUCUCCAGGUGGGCACUGAGCACCUCCUAGGGGGGGUCCAGGUGGGCACUGGUCACCUCAAGGUGUGCCCAGGUGGGCGCUGGUCACCUGUGUGGUCUCCAGGUGGGCACUGGGCACCUCCUAGGGGGGGUCCAGGUGGGCACUGGGCACUUCCAGGUGGACACUGGUCAUCUCCAAGGUGUCCAGCUGGACACUGGGCACCUCUGACAUGCCCAGGUGGACACUGGGCACCUCCUCCAUUGUGCCCAGGUGGAC
Oenanthe melanoleuca is the source of this 440-nucleotide long non-coding RNA. RefSeq lists it as uncharacterized. The transcript is spliced from 3 exons. The record is from RefSeq and is a predicted model, not a curated record. NCBI's taxonomy places the organism in Eukaryota, Metazoa, Chordata, Aves, Passeriformes, Muscicapidae.